RNAcentral lists this long non-coding RNA (748 nucleotides) under Mus musculus (house mouse). RNAcentral's name for it is "predicted gene, 33091". Lineage: Eukaryota; Metazoa; Chordata; Mammalia; Rodentia; Muridae. The record is from RNAcentral.
UGUUUCCACCUUGUGCCUCAUCACCACGUUUCCAUGGCUACAGUCAAAUGAGAUGAGCAAAGUGGAGAGGAUGCUCCUACUAACUUCCCUGGCCUACGUUAUAUACACCUUCAAUUUCCUCAGUCCACUGACCAGCAGAGUGGUGAGACCCCAACCAAAGCAGUCUCACUCUUAGGAGACUGGAAACCUGAAGUUCUAGAAGGAUCCGGGGUCUGCAGUCUACAUGCCUAUGUGUCCUCCAAAGUCACAUGUCGACACCUAUCCUAGUCUGCCAGUAUAUAUCUGACUGAGUCCUCAUCAACUUGUCUUCACUAAAUAUUCAUUGAAUGUGGUGAGGAUGAAGAGGGAACAACCAUCUAUGGCUAGAAAGAGAGCAGUCUCCAGACAUAGGUUCUUCCUUGACCUUGGCCUUUCCAGCCUUCAGACCUAUGCUGGGUCUCAACCCCAGGGCCUUGCACGUGCUAAGCAAGUGCCAUGCCUCUCAGGUCCUCCUCCAGUUCCUGCUUCAUCUUAGGCCUUCCGCCUUCCCUAGAAGAACCUGCUCUAAUUCCUGUGCAUCCUAGCUACAUAAUUUGCAAGGCCGAAAGCAAAACCACAGGCUUGGCAUUUGAGCUGUCCUUGCUCAAAACUCAGAGCAGAAAUGAGCAUUUACUAAACUGUAAAGACUGUCGUUGCAAAAUAUUUUACUAUUAAAAGUUAAUAAGAAUAAAAUAUUAGAUCACUACAAAUAUUUUGAAUGGAAAAGAAA